Molecule: transfer RNA, 54 nt
Filed under: Xiphinema americanum
Lineage: Eukaryota; Metazoa; Nematoda; Enoplea; Dorylaimida; Longidoridae
Description: tRNA-Thr
Source: RNAcentral
AAAAGGUUAGCUAAUUAAGCAUUGAUUUUGUAAAUCAAAGAUUUCCCUUUUUUA